Molecule: ribosomal RNA, 253 nt
Filed under: uncultured bacterium
Lineage: Bacteria
Description: partial 16S ribosomal RNA
Rfam family: Bacterial small subunit ribosomal RNA
Source: RNAcentral
GACGGGGGAUGCGAGCGUUAUCCGGAAUGAUUGGGCGUAAAGGGUCCGCAGGUGGCCCGGUCAGUCCGCUGUCAAAGCCUGGGGCUCAACCCUGGAGAGGCGGCGGAGACCACCGGGCUUGAGUCCGGUAGGGGCAGAGGGAAUUCCCGGUGGAGCGGUGAAAUGCGUAGAGAUCGGGAGGAACACCAGUGGCGAAGGCGACUUCCUGGCCUAUUCUUGACGCUGAGGCGCGAAAGCUAGGGGAGCAAACGGG